Molecule: ribosomal RNA, 497 nt
Filed under: uncultured bacterium
Lineage: Bacteria
Description: partial 16S ribosomal RNA
Rfam family: Bacterial small subunit ribosomal RNA
Source: RNAcentral
GAUGAACGCUGGCGGCGUGCCUAAUACAUGCAAGUCGAGCGAACAGACGAGGAGCUUGCUCCUUUGACGUUAGCGGCGGACGGGUGAGUAACACGUGGAUAACCUACCUAUAAGACUGGGAUAACUUCGGGAAACCGGAGCUAAUACCGGAUAACAUGUUGAACCGCAUGGUUCAACAGUGAAAGACGGUCUUGCUGUCACUUAUAGAUGGAUCCGCGCCGCAUUAGCUAGUUGGUAAGGUAACGGCUUACCAAGGCAACGAUGCGUAGCCGACCUGAGGGGGUGAUCGGCCACACUGGAACUGAGACACGGUCCAGACUCCUACGGGAGGCAGCAGUAGGGAAUCUUCCGCAAUGGGCGAAAGCCUGACGGAGCAACGCCGCGUGAGUGAAGAAGGUCUUCGGAUCGUAAAACUCUGUUAUUAGGGAAGAACAAAUGUGUAAGAAACUAUGCACGUUUUGACGGUACCUAAUCAGAAAGCCACGGCUAACUACGUG